RNAcentral lists this long non-coding RNA (1376 nucleotides) under Pan troglodytes (chimpanzee). Its description in RNAcentral is "long non-coding RNA NONPTRT010810". The record is from RNAcentral. Lineage: Eukaryota; Metazoa; Chordata; Mammalia; Primates; Hominidae.
CGUUCCCGGGGAAGAACUGCUAAAACAUGAGACCAAGGCACAGACCUUACUGUAUGAGAAGCAAUGCUCCUCAAACCUUCUGCGUGCUGACAUAGACCUUCCCAGAAGCAAAACUGUUGGCGGCGACCUGAGCGCUGGAAGCCGAAGGGGAAGAGGAAGGAGACGCGAAGCCAGGGCGGCCGGCACAAAGGCGGCGGACUCGCGGCGGCAGCGCCUGCCCGGCCGGGAGCACAACCCGCGGCCCUACUCCAGCGAAGUCCCGCACCGGCUUCUAGGAAUAAAGUUUACGUUCUCCUGAGGCCGCACCCCCCACCUCCCACCCAGGACGGCACAUCUCCGUGUCCUCCUCCCCCAAACUCCACUCGGGACCCCGAGAACCACCCCAGCCUUCCGGCCACCACAACAAAGAGCCGCACCGACCGGCGAGGAUAAACAGCGGCGGAGGGCGAGAGGGCGGCGGGGCGAGCGCCUCCACGCAGCAACUCCGGAGUCCCUCGCUUGCCCGAGCGCAGCUUCUCCGCUGCUGUUUCCACCGGCUUUGUAACACUGGGAAUUUACAUCCUCACCCGCACCCCUCACGCCCGAGGAUUUUAAACUCACCUUUACUCUCGAACUGAGAGUUGCGGUAGAUGGGAUUUUUGCCUUUUCCCCAGAUGGUUGAAGGUUAAGAUUUUUGGAAACCCCACCACCUCCUGAUUUCUAUUAUUAUUUCUGCAAGAAAAGUAUAAAGAGAGUUGUAGUGGAGGUGAGAUUUGUGAUCGGGAAAGCCUUCGACUCCCUCCUUCUCCGUCUUCCGCCUCUCUCUCUCUGAUUAGUUCCUAUCCAGCAGCAGAUUGAAGCAGGAGAUGAUUCUUCUCAAGGUUUGUUCAGCAGCUUCACUUCUAGGCGAAGGCUUCAUGAACCAAGUGACGUCAACCAACAAGGCUUCUCUCUCUCUCCUCUCUCUAACAAUGAAAGUUGCUGUUAACAAGGGAAAAAAAGAGAGAGAAUUGUUUAUACCAUUUCAGUUCCAAUAAUAAAUGACCUAUCAGCUCCUAAAGGAGCCAAGGGAGGGGGUUGCUGCUUCUUUCCAAGAAUACUGUAGCUUUGAGUUUGCACCGUUCCUUGUCCCAGGAAAAAGUUAAGAAACUUAAAAUGUUUUGUUUGGCUUUUAAAGAAGACAGGACAGAAAACGGGAUUUAAAACUUAGUUUUUAAAAAAACAAAAGCUACAGAGUAGGGAGCAUAGGUCAACCAUCUCCACCUAAACUUUUUUUGUUCCUAAACUCAGAAUUCUACAACCCAACUAAAUUAAUAUGCCAAGAUUUUGCGGAUGUUAAAACUCAAAAAAAGCAGUAUGCAAGACGGUCCCGGGGUAAAAUUCUACUGCCUUUCCAC